CGAUCUCUCUCGGUGGCAUCCUCGGGGUUGCCGUCUCUCGCGGAUGACACUCCCACAUGGAGACGGCGACCGCCGUGUGAGCGUCAAGGCGCUAUAUUCUUCCACCGCUUGAGCCCUCCCCGUCUUCUUCGAGCUGCAUAAGGUAAAUCCUCUGACAGGGAGACUCGAAAUCCGUUCUUUUCUAGGGUUAGGACAAGGUUUUGGUUCGUUCUGCCCCUUUUCGCCCGUUCUUUUUCUUGGUUCGCCCCCUCGGUAUUCUAGGGUGGGGGAUGGCAGUUUAUCAGGGAUUUGGGAAUGGAAUCGGUGAGGGUUUCUUUUACGGGAUGGUCUUGUGGGGUCUUCAACACUACCAGAUUGGUAGGAGGUGAUCGAGACCAUGGAUUCGUCUCCGCCCGCGACGAUCGCGACGAUGAGCUCUCGAUCGAGUCCUCGAAUCUCCGAAGGCGGGUGCCGCUGGUGGCUCCAUCGGGGCUGGGCAGCGUAUGAUGUGCGCGAUUCUUCCCUGCUCACUGAGAAAUCGAAGGGCAAGAUCAUCCACAGCGCGAAUGGCGUCUCGGGGCUUCGCAUGUCCCGCCUGCAACUUGAUUGUGCUGCUUGUCCGUGACACGACUUGGAGAACAUGUACAUGUCGUGUUAGUGUUCGAGGAGCGGCCAGAGAACACGGUGAGGAAGACGGAGAUGUUGAGCCUCGGUUUCCUCUUUAGUAUUGAUGGAGUUUUGGUCUCAUCGGAUGCAUGAGAAGCAGUGCAGGGGAUCGGACCUUUCGGUGGUGAGGGAGCGUUCCCAAGAACUGGGUGAAGCCAUCAAUGGCAAACGGGAUUAGAAGGAUUCUUGGUCAUGGUUAGCUUUGCCUAUCUCCGAUCAUCAACAUUCAAGCUCACGGAUCCUUCUCCCAAUUUAAUAUUCAAACAACACUGUUAAGUCUUAG
Molecule: long non-coding RNA, 928 nt
Filed under: Musa acuminata (dwarf banana)
Lineage: Eukaryota; Viridiplantae; Streptophyta; Magnoliopsida; Zingiberales; Musaceae
Description: long non-coding RNA (MACU_LNC006167)
Source: RNAcentral